AAGACCUUGCGCUUUUGGAGCGGCCGAUGUCUGAUUAGCUUGUUGGUGAGGUAAAAGCUUACCAAGGCUUCGAUCAGUAGCUGGUCUGAGAGGACGGCCAGCCACACUGGGACUGAGACACGGCCCAGACUCCUACGGGAGGCAGCAGUGGGGAAUUUUGGACAAUGGGGGCAACCCUGAUCCAGCCAUGCCGCGUGAGUGAAGAAGGCCUUCGGGUUGUAAAGCUCUUUCAGCCGGAACGAAACGGUUGCGGUUAAUACCUGUGACUACUGACGGUACCGGAAGAAGAAGCACCGGCUAACUACGUGCCAGCAGCCGCGGUAAUACGUAGGGUGCAAGCGUUAAUCGGAAUUACUGGGCGUAAAGCGUGCGCAGGUGGUUUUGUAAGUCAGAUGUGAAAUCCCCGGGCUUAACCUGGGAACU
RNAcentral lists this ribosomal RNA (423 nucleotides) under uncultured bacterium. RNAcentral's name for it is "bacterial SSU rRNA". It matches the Rfam family "Bacterial small subunit ribosomal RNA", at positions 207 to 622 of the family's 1533-position model. The record is from RNAcentral.